GUUGAGGCACGAGUUUCUAUGGAUGGACCAUUGGGAAUUAAUAGGUUUGGUUUGGGGGUACGUGUGAAUGAGUUAGGAAUAUGGUUACGUGUACUUGGGGAUUUUUGAAGAUUAGGUGUGGUGAGGGGCUCGAUAUUUGGCAGCGGAAAAUAGUUGGGGAUAGAUAAGUUGGCACAUUUUGAGUGGUUAGUAAAGCAGUGUAUUCAGAAAGUCAUGUGAGGGUUGUAUAGGGGAACUUAAGGGGGUAGUUGAGUUAUGUUUUGUGCUAGAGUUUGGGUUUGGGGGAGGGGAAGAUAUUGGUCCUAUGAAAGGGCGAAAUAGUGAAACAUGAAACAUUAGGUGGAUGCGAGAUGAGGGAGGUAAUCGGAGUUCAUACGCAACAACGCCUAUACGGUGGCAGAUUUGGUACGAUCCCGAGUAGCGAGGGGCUAGUUUCAGACAUGGACGAUGUUCCACUGUCUGUUGGCGGUAUGGCUGGAGGCGGACCCAGACCUAGCCCUCUACGUUGAAGGUGCGGUCCGAUCGGUGUCGAUUAUCCUGGUCACACAUACGUUGGCGAGUUUUGCGGAGGUUAUGUUUAAGAACAUGCAAUACUAAGGUAUGUUGGUGUAGCGGUUCCGAGAUGGUGGUGCCAGCGCAAGGAGUAUGUAACAUAUCGAGGAUGGUGGAAGGUGGAUAACCGUAUAACUAAUGGAAGGGGAAGGUGCUGAUAGCCGAGUGAUGGAUCGUAUUGUGCCAUAACUUCGCGAGGUGGAGGUAUUAGUACCAUGUUUGGGGGUGUCCCCAGUGAAACAUCGUAGGUAUGCUUCUAGCCCUUUGUUUAAAACCUCUGUUUGCCCAUCCGUUUGUGAGUGAUAGGUGGAGAUAAACUUUAAUGUUGUACCUUGGACUUUGAACAAUUGUCUCCAAAACGUGCUAACAAAGAAGGGAUCGCGAUCCGAGACAAUGGUUUUUGACAUUUUGUGAAGGUGAAAGAUUUCCACCGCGAAGCGCUUAGCGAGUUGUUGCGCCGUGAAGUGUGUAAGGAGAGCCAGAAAAUGGGUGUAUUUGGUGAGACAUACACAGAUGACCCAAACCACUGUUUGACCCGCAGAUGAAGGUACAUGAGUUAUGAAAUCCAUAGAUAAAUCUUCCCAUACUUGUGCCGGUGUUAGGAGAGGUUGGAGUAACCUUUGAAUUUUUUUUGGCAGGUAUUUAUUUCUUUGACAAGUGAUGCAUUGCUAGAGGAAUUGUUUCACAUGGCCAAUAUAAGGAGGCAACGACUCGAGCGAGGGUAGGCUUGAGAUUGGAAUGACCAUUUGUUGGGGACUCAUGCAUUUCGUGAAGGAUCUUUUCUCUAAAAUUAUUGGACGUUGGGAGGAACAAUUGGUGUCGAAAAAACAACAUCCCAUUCUGAUUAACAACAAAUUGGGCUGUUGUUGAUCGUGAGUGCAAGAUUGGAUUAACUGUGCACCUUCUGAGGUUUUGAAGAACUACUGUAACUCUUGAAAAAACAAGGGAAUCAACAAAGACAAUGUAAGAAGUAAUGAAGGGGUUGGUGUUCCUUGGCGGGACAAAGCAUCAACAACUACAUUUUGUUUUUCAGGUCGAUAUAAAAUUUGAAAAUCAUACCCUUGUAAUUUUGCUGUCCAUUUCUGUUGUUUUGACGUUUGAAUUGUCUGUGAAAGUAAUGUAUGCAAACUUUUUUGAUUUGUGAAUAUUUUGAAGUGUUGGCCUAACAAGUACUGAUGCCAUUUCUUUACUGCUUCUGUUAUUGCAUACAUCUCCCUCACAUACAUGUAUGACGCUUGGAGUCGUGAAUAUAUCUUCUUGCUGAAAAAUGAAAGUGGGUGGUUUUUUGGCUGAGCACUGCCCCCACGGCCACUGACGAUGCAUCUGUUUCCACUACAAAGGGCUGAUUGAAAUUUGGAAGGUGUAGUGUAGGAACCUUUGCAAUUUGUAAUUUUAAUUCAGUGAAAGCUUGAUGAGUUGUCAUAGGCCACAUAAAUUUCUGAUUAUGUAAUAAGUCGGUGAGAGGAGCGACGAGAGUAGCGUAGUAACGAACAAAUUUCCUGUAAAAGUCGGUGAGACCGAGAAAGCCCCUUAGUUCCAUGAGUAACACCAUUAGGAGCAGGGGCAGGGGCAACACCAUUAGGAGAAAUGAUACGACCUAAGUAAUUAACUUGAGUAGUUGUAAAACUGUACUUAGGGUGUGUUUGGAUUGGGGAGUGGAUUUGAGAGAGUGGAUUUGUAGUGAUUUAAGAGGAAAGUGUGAAGAAAGUGAGGUUGUUUGGAUUAAGGUAUGUUAGAGUGGAUUUGUGAAGAGAGUUUAUUGAAGUUUGUGAGUGAUGUGAUGGUUGUAAGAGUAUUUUGAAUUAUUUUUAAUAGUGUGAAUUACAAAAUUAUAAAUUUACCCUUGUGUAUAAAAAAGAAAAAAAAAUAAUAAUUAAUUUUGUAUAUAUUUUAGUUGAUUAAAAUAAUAUAAAAUUACAAUUAUAAAUAAAAAAUAAAAAAAUGUAAAAUUAAAAUAAAGAAAUAAAAUUAAAAAUUUAAAUAAAAU
RNAcentral lists this long non-coding RNA (2539 nucleotides) under Phaseolus vulgaris (common bean). Its description in RNAcentral is "long non-coding RNA (PVUL_LNC005130)". The record is from RNAcentral. Lineage: Eukaryota; Viridiplantae; Streptophyta; Magnoliopsida; Fabales; Fabaceae.